UGGGGAAUAUUGGACAAUGGGGGGAACCCUGAUCCAGCCAUGCCGCGUGUGUGAAGAAGGCCUUAUGGUUGUAAAGCACUUUAAGCGAGGAGGAGGGUACUGGUAUUAAUACUACCAGGUACUGGACGUUACUCGCAGAAUAAGCACCGGCUAACUCUGUGCCAGCAGCCGCGGUAAUACAGAGGGUGCGAGCGUUAAUCGGAUUUACUGGGCGUAAAGCGUGCGUAGGCGGCUAAUUGAGUCGGAUGUGAAAUCCCCGAGCUUAACUUAGGAAUUGCAUUCGAUACUGGUUAGCUAGAGUGUGGGAGAGGAUGGUAGAAUUCCAGGUGUAGCGGUGAAAUGCGUAGAGAUCUGGAGGAAUACCGAUGGCGAAGGCAGCCAUCUGGCCUAACACUGACGCUGAGGUACGAAAGCAUGGGGAGCAAACAGG
RNAcentral lists this ribosomal RNA (430 nucleotides) under Pseudomonadota bacterium. Its description in RNAcentral is "Proteobacteria bacterium partial 16S ribosomal RNA". It matches the Rfam family "Bacterial small subunit ribosomal RNA", at positions 355 to 776 of the family's 1533-position model. The record is from RNAcentral. Lineage: Bacteria; Pseudomonadati; Pseudomonadota.